AUUGAACGCUGGCGGCAGGCUUAACACAUGCAAGUCGAGCGGGGUGAUGGUGCUCGCACUAUCACUUAGCGGCGGACGGGUGAGUAAUGCUUAGGAAUCUGCCUAUUAGUGGGGGACAACAUCUCGAAAGGGAUGCUAAUACCGCAUACGUCCUACGGGAGAAAGCAGGGGAUCACUUGUGACCUUGCGCUAAUAGAUGAGCCUAAGUCGGAUUAGCUAGUUGGUGGGGUAAAGGCCUACCAAGGCGACGAUCUGUAGCGGGUCUGAGAGGAUGAUCCGCCACACCGGGACUGAGACACGGCCCAGACUCCUACGGGAGGCAGCAGUGGGGAAUAUUGGACAAUGGGGGGAACCCUGAUCCAGCCAUGCCGCGUGUGUGAAGAAGGCCUUAUGGUUGUAAAGCACUUUAAGCGAGGAGGAGGCUCUUCUGGUUAAUACCCAAGAUGAGUGGACGUUACUCGCAGAAUAAGCACCGGCUAACUCUGUGCCAGCAGCCGCCGUAA
This 503-nucleotide ribosomal RNA is filed under the name uncultured bacterium. RNAcentral describes it as "partial 16S ribosomal RNA". It matches the Rfam family "Bacterial small subunit ribosomal RNA", at positions 30 to 523 of the family's 1533-position model. The record is from RNAcentral.